CUUACAGAGUUUAUUGGCAUUCUGUCCACCUCCAAUCUGCAGAAACUACAAGUUGUUUUACUUUCUGGAGGUGGGCAUACUGCCAACUGAGCUCUGUUGG
RNAcentral lists this microRNA precursor (100 nucleotides) under Populus alba (white poplar). RNAcentral's name for it is "MIR394 microRNA precursor family". It matches the Rfam family "MIR394 microRNA precursor family". The record is from Rfam by way of RNAcentral. RNAcentral also lists the same sequence under 2 other names. Lineage: Eukaryota; Viridiplantae; Streptophyta; Magnoliopsida; Malpighiales; Salicaceae.